UAUGCUGUGAUGAGAUUAAGCACCAUAGGGUGUAUUGGGCAGUGGAAGAAGGUUUAAAAGCCUUCUCCGUGAGCUUAUUAAUUAACGACUUCUCCUUCCACUGAGCAUC
This is a non-coding RNA of Solanum lycopersicum (tomato), 109 nucleotides long. Lineage: Eukaryota; Viridiplantae; Streptophyta; Magnoliopsida; Solanales; Solanaceae. The record is from Rfam.